Kogia breviceps (pygmy sperm whale) is the source of this 536-nucleotide non-coding RNA. The record is from RefSeq and is a predicted model, not a curated record. Lineage: Eukaryota; Metazoa; Chordata; Mammalia; Artiodactyla; Physeteridae.
GGGGAGGCUAGGUGCAAUGGACAUAUUUCAGACUCAUCACUAAGCAGUUUCAUUCUGGCACAUUGUCAGAUCUGCAGAAAGGGGGUGGUGACAGCAGAAGGGGUUACCCAGUGGGGCUGUAGGAAUGCCUCCAGAGAACCGAUAUCUACCCUGUGGAAUGGCCAUGCAAACCAGACUUUUCUCCUUGAAGCCAAGAAAGUUUCCUACACAAACAUUUCUCUGCUUUCCUUCUCAGAAACUGCAUCUUCGAUUUAAACUGACGCUGACAUUUGUACUCGUGAGACGCUGCAGCUCUAAAGCUCCUCUUACAAAGCCUCAUGAAAUGAAUGAAGCACAUGAUAAAGAUGGAAGGGAGCUCCUCAGGACGGAGCCAGCAGUCCUCUGUUACAUAAGUAACCUCUGAAAACACUUUACAUGGAGGUACACUUCAAGUAUGAAGAAAUGCAUUUUCCCACAGACUCUAUUCUACACAGAAAGUAAAGACCAAAAACCUUAAGAAGAAUAUAUCCUUCCUGGGCAUAUAAUCUUGAGCAGAA